GUAGUUUGGAUAAGUGUUGAUGUAUGACUGAGACUUCAGGCAUCAGAACUGGAAAGAUAUUUUGCUUCCCUAUAGUGUGCAGAAAGGACUGAGAAGAAAGAUAGAUAUGGCAUGGCAGGAAUGUUCCCUUGUAUGUGAGUGGUCGGCUACUUAUCUAAAGGUUAGUUGAAUAACAUUUAAUCUUCUGCUUUUGGCCAUUCCAGGAAGAAUCAGCCUGUCAGUUUUUCUUUGAUUUAAAUGAAAAGCAGGGAAGGAAGCGUUCAUCCACAGGUAGAGAUAGCAAAUCUUCUCCUCAUCCAAAGCAGCCUCGCAAACCUCCUCAGCCUCCAGGACCCUGCUGGUUUUGCCUUGCUAGCCCUGAAGUGGAAAAACAUUUGGUGGUCAACAUCGGCACACAUUGCUACCUUGCCCUGGCCAAAGGAGGCUUAUCUGAUGACCAUGUCCUCA
RNAcentral lists this small RNA (447 nucleotides) under Pan troglodytes (chimpanzee). RNAcentral describes it as "retained intron". Lineage: Eukaryota; Metazoa; Chordata; Mammalia; Primates; Hominidae. The record is from RNAcentral.